Molecule: ribosomal RNA, 490 nt
Filed under: uncultured bacterium
Lineage: Bacteria
Description: bacterial SSU rRNA
Rfam family: Bacterial small subunit ribosomal RNA
Source: RNAcentral
AUUGAACGCUGGCGGCAUGCCUUACACAUGCAAGUCGAACGGCAGCACGGGAGCAAUCCUGGUGGCGAGUGGCGAACGGGUGAGUAAUAUAUCGGAACGUGCCCAAUCGUGGGGGAUAACGCAGCGAAAGCUGUGCUAAUACCGCAUACGAUCUACGGAUGAAAGCGGGGGAUCGCAAGACCUCGCGCGAUUGGAGCGGCCGAUAUCAGAUUAGCUAGUUGGUGGGGUAAAAGCCCACCAAGGCGACGAUCUGUAGCUGGUCUGAGAGGACGACCAGCCACACUGGAACUGAGACACGGUCCAGACUCCUACGGGAGGCAGCAGUGGGGAAUUUUGGACAAUGGGCGCAAGCCUGAUCCAGCAAUGCCGCGUGCAGGAUGAAGGCCUUCGGGUUGUAAACUGCUUUGUACGGAACGAAACGGCGAGCUCUAAUACAGUUUGCUAAUGACGGUACCGUAAGAAUAAGCACCGGCUAACUACGUGCCAGCAG